AGUAUACAGUUUCUCUGUUUUCCUGAGCAUUCACAAUUCAUUUAAUGUCCUUCACGUUAUUGGUUUAUGGAUGGAUUGUUUACAUGUAUUCUGUUUUACAAGAGACCAAAGGAAGAGGCAAUCAUUGUAUCAGCUUUGACAAAUGGAAAAUCAUCAAUUCCCAAAAACUAUUUAUGACACAAAAAUAAAGUUGUUAUUCUGGAAGGUCUCAGUAUUAUCAGUGCUCAUAACGAAUGAACUACUACCCUAAACCCUGUUAUGAGAUGUGUCAUAUGUUCCCUUGCCUCUUCUGAUUUCAUGGAGCAACUAUAUUGCAAGACAAAAUAUAUAUGUUUGGUGGAAACCACAAUGGCCGCCAUCUAAGUGACCUUCAGGCCUCGUAACAUUAGCAGGCCAGUGAAAUAUUUUUCAAGCCAUGGACCAGGUCAUGGUGGUUGUGGCUAGGAAGAAGGCGGCUAAGGCGAUGCAGGAGGAGAGGAAUCUGCACAAGUUCCUCUGGUCUCUAAUCCGUUUUACAUGAUUCAUGUAAAUUUUUUUGGGAGUUCCUCGAUGUGAAUCGACCACCAACCAAUUGGGAGCAAGCCCCGGUGCCUCGCCG
Lolium rigidum is the source of this 598-nucleotide long non-coding RNA. RefSeq lists it as uncharacterized. The transcript has 3 exons. The record is from RefSeq and is a predicted model, not a curated record. NCBI's taxonomy places the organism in Eukaryota, Viridiplantae, Streptophyta, Magnoliopsida, Poales, Poaceae.